RNAcentral lists this transfer RNA (72 nucleotides) under Trichonephila inaurata madagascariensis. It matches the Rfam family "tRNA". Rfam says of the family: Transfer RNA (tRNA) molecules are approximately 80 nucleotides in length. Their secondary structure includes four short double-helical elements and three loops (D, anti-codon, and T loops). Lineage: Eukaryota; Metazoa; Arthropoda; Arachnida; Araneae; Nephilidae. The record is from Rfam by way of RNAcentral.
GGGGGUAUAACUCAGUGGUAGAGCAUUUGACUGUAGAUCGAGAGGUCUCCGGUUCAAACCGGGAUGUCCCUU